UCAAAGGCGUGCGCCACCACAG
RNAcentral lists this unclassified non-coding RNA (22 nucleotides) under Mus musculus (house mouse). RNAcentral's name for it is "oocyte_clustered_small_RNA87". Lineage: Eukaryota; Metazoa; Chordata; Mammalia; Rodentia; Muridae. The record is from RNAcentral.